AAGCCUGCGAACCCUAAACCCUACCUGUGUCUCUCCUGCACAGCUAUUGACAUCUUUAUUCGCCAAUCAGAUUUAACUUGGGGACAGGGUCACAGGAGCUGUGUGCAGACUCCAACCAGGUCUUGGGGUCCCACACUUAGCAUCACAACAGACAGUAAAAGACAAAUCCUCAACACUGGACAUUUACAGAGAAUUACCCAGCAGCUGGGAUUAUCAUGUUCUCCAACAGCCAUAGCAAAGUGUGUCAGUGUGUCAGUCACUUUCGUGUUGUGGUGAAAACACACAAGACCAGGAAGUGGGAAGCUAGGAGAAAUCACUUCUUUCACUGCAAACAGAGCAGAAAGUGUGAACAGACAGGACUGAGACCAUGAUCACUCAAUGCCCACCCUCAGCGGCGCUUCCUCCUGCAGGGCUGCACCACCUACAGGUUCCAUAACUUCCCACACAACACAUGGAACCACAUAUUCAAGUACCUGAGCCUGUGGAGACAUUUCUCGCUCAUCACCACCACUACUACACUAUUUCCUAAACUAGUCUGAUCAUAACAACCCCUUGGAUACUUGUUAACCAUCACAUAUCCAGUCCCUACCUCACCCAAGAUCUAUAAAAGCAAAUCUAGUAGGGAAGUAGUUAAAUGUGGAUUCUAACAAAUCCCCAAGAGGAAUGUGACCCGAAAGAGGGUCAGAGUUCAACGUGUAAAAUGAAGGUAUCCUGUCAAGACUGGAAUGAUGUCAUCAACUGCAUGCCUGUCCAGGUGGGAUCCACAGCUGUCAACACUCGCCAGUUCGAAGACAGCUUCUUGGUAAAUUGGGUUCUGUGGGCAGGGAUGGGUAAAGGAACAGUGUCAGCUGAUGCUGACAAAAGGAGGGGGCCUGUAGAUUCCAUCUCUGUCAUCCGACUUCUUCCUAGGAAGCCACGAAUGAGCAUCAAAUCUAGGUGGUGGGGCAGUCUCUGAAGUCUAGGUCUCUAGGAGAUCCUAACAGGAAAACAAUGAGGGCCUUACAUUCCAGGCCUGGUAACCUGUCUUCACUUAGGGCCUCGUGCCCAGUCGUUGGGUCUAGAAUUCCACCCUGACACCAUGGCACCCAACUGCAGCCGGUUACAGAUAAGCCCCUCUCGCGGAAAGGACCAUUCUUCUGGCUAUGUAGGUUCGUCCUGCAGCAGCAGGGCUGGGCAGUCUGCGACCACUUCAGGACUGGAUUAUCAUUUUUACAACAACGGAACGGAGAGCUCAGCUCCUUGGACAACAUCUGGAGGUGGCGCCCGCCGCUCCAGCUUGCGGCCUGAAUAUCCCAGGGCCUCGACUUUCUGGUGCACACAGCUCUGGAGCCAGAAAGUAUACACACACCAUAAAUUUUCCCGCCCCACCCGGCUCACCCCUCAGCCGGCUCACAGCGCUGGCCCUUUCCUCCCGCACUAGUAACUGCAGCCCGCGGCUGAGCACUUUGGGUCCCCGCAAUGGUGGGCAGGGCUGUGCAGCUGUCUAGCCGCUGCAAGAACGCGGUAGCAGCGUUAGAACUCAGAGCGUCGCCUUCGGAAAGCUCCCAGACACUACCUACCUAGGAGGGAAGAUUUGGAGAGCUCAGUAGAGGGGAAAGAGAGUGGAUCAGAUGAGAAUGGAAGGAGUCUGGAAAUUCGGCGGCUUUUAUAUACUUUGUAUGUCUUCCUACACUGUAAAGCCACCAUGUAGACACACGCACACAGUAAACAGCCCGUUGCUUAAAG
This 1725-nucleotide long non-coding RNA is filed under the name Mus pahari (shrew mouse). Its description in RNAcentral is "RIKEN cDNA 4930488B22 gene (MGP_PahariEiJ_G0006132.1)". The record is from RNAcentral. Lineage: Eukaryota; Metazoa; Chordata; Mammalia; Rodentia; Muridae.